UACGGGGGGAGCAAGCGUUGUUCGGAUUUACUGGGCGUAAAGGGCGCGUAGGCGGCCACCGCAAGUCGACUGUGAAAUCUCCGGGCUUAACCCGGAAAGGUCAGCCGAUACUGCGGGGCUAGAGUGCAGAAGGGGCAACUGGAAUUCUCGGUGUAGCGGUGAAAUGCGUAGAUAUCGAGAGGAACACCUGCGGCGAAGGCGGGUUGCUGGGCUGACACUGACGCUGAGGCGCGAAAGCUAGGGGAGCGAACGGG
Molecule: non-coding RNA, 254 nt
Filed under: uncultured bacterium
Lineage: Bacteria
Also listed under: 5 other names
Description: partial 16S ribosomal RNA
Rfam family: Bacterial small subunit ribosomal RNA
Source: RNAcentral